GAGCGCACGCCGCCUACGGGGUGUUCCGGCGUCGUAGUCGUGCACUUCUCCCCUAGUAGAACGUCGCGACCCGUUGCGUGUCGGUCUACGGCCCGAGCGGUAGCCUGUCCCGUCUCGCCAUCGCGCGUGCGCGGACAGACCCUCGGUUAGCCCGGCCGGCUGCGCGACGGUACUCGCACGGUAUCGGGCCGCAGCGAAACGGCGAGAGGAAACUCUCUCCUCGCGUGCGUCAGGCCCGUCGCAAGCUGGGCCAGUUCCAUACCCGGAGGUGUUACGGACCCGGUGCCGUCCCCGGGCCUGGCCAGCUGUUGGCCGACGGUGUCCUCUGACUGUGUCCAUUCUCUUUCUAUAAGAUUACCGGUCGGCGACGCUAUUGCUUUGGGUACUCUCAGGACCCGUCUUGAAACACGGACCAAGGAGUCUAACAUGUGCGCGAGUCAUUGGGAUCGCAAUUCGAAACCUAAAGGCGGAAUGAAAGUGAAGGU
RNAcentral lists this ribosomal RNA (485 nucleotides) under Melitta hispanica. RNAcentral's name for it is "eukaryotic LSU rRNA". Lineage: Eukaryota; Metazoa; Arthropoda; Insecta; Hymenoptera; Melittidae. The record is from RNAcentral.